GGGGACUCCAGUUAUGGUACCCUGAGGAAGGAAUCCAGUGAUCCAUUCUCCAUGAAUUCUGUGACAAUCAUGACUGGUCGGCUUUUGGUGACCACGCCCUCCAGGUGGAUGACAUUGGGAUGCUCAAAUUGCCCCAUGAUGCUGGCCUCGCUCAGGAACUCUCGACGCUGUUCAUCAGUAUAACCUGACUUCAGGGUUUUAAUAGCUACUGUGUAUUCACGUUUCCCUGGGUGUUUUAGGCGCCCAAAGCACACCUCUCCAAAUUCUCCUGAUCCAAUGACCUCCUCAAUUUUGAUGAAGGACACAUCUAUCUCUUUGGCAAACUCUCGAAUAGCUUCAUUGGGAUCUUCAUACGUGGAAGGAUCAAUGUAAUACUUCACUCCAAGUCCUCGUGUACUGAUAUACUGCUGCAGGCGGUCUGUGUAUGGAGUCUCUCGCCUUUUACUCUUGAAGAUGAUGGCAAGAAUGGCAAUGGCAGCAAUUACCAAGAAUGCCAGACCACCAAGUGCUGAGCCCACAAUAAGUGGCAGUCGGUCCUGUGCCAUCUCCGAGUGCUCUCCUCCCAUUAAAGUCUGGAAAUACAUCUUUCCACUGUAUGGGCCAUAACCCACUGCUGUUCUAGCUCGUACUUGGAAGACAUAGAUCUUGCCUGGACUCAGAUUUAAUAUAGUGGCCAUGUUAGUUUCACUAGUCAAAGUAAA
This 701-nucleotide long non-coding RNA is filed under the name Gallus gallus (chicken). The record is from RNAcentral. Lineage: Eukaryota; Metazoa; Chordata; Aves; Galliformes; Phasianidae.